This 2777-nucleotide long non-coding RNA is filed under the name Glycine max (soybean). RNAcentral's name for it is "long non-coding RNA (GMAX_LNC000711)". Lineage: Eukaryota; Viridiplantae; Streptophyta; Magnoliopsida; Fabales; Fabaceae. The record is from RNAcentral.
GAUAGGCAACUUUCAUAGUAGGAUUUGGGAUUGGCAUUUGAUAGCAUCGGUUUGGUGCAGUGAGAAGUGAAAACCGAUGUAGCUCUUUCAUGCAUGACGAAAAUUAAGGUGCUAACUUAGACUUGUUGACUCGUUUAGUUUGGUAAUGCCUUUAGCUUAUCCUUCCUUCCUAGUCUCAUGUAGGUUGAUUGAGUCACGGAUUAAUCGAAUGCUAUUAACAAAAUUAACUACAAUAUUUUUAUUCAAGGAAAAAUUACACUAACUUUCUCAUACAUAUCUUUUAAAUUCAAAACCACAUCCCCUAUAGCUAUUAAACAUAAAAACACUCACUUACCACCAAAAUAGUAUUCUUCUUCAUCUGUAUAUUGUUUGAAUACCAACCUUUCUUCAAAGAAACUAAUAAUAAACAUGAAGUACAAGGAAAAAUAAGAGAAAUACAAAUAUUUUAAUAUUAAUAGAUAACAAACACAAUGAUGAUAGCUCAAUAUUAACGUGACCUGAUAGGAUCAAUAAAUAAUUAUUAAAAUAAAUCCUGAUAUCAUAAAAAAAUCAAUAUCUAAUUUAAUUAUAUAAAACCGAAUAAUUAGUAUAAGAUAAGAAUUCAUUAGAGAAAAAAAAGAUACAAUUUUUUUUUUUACUAUAUCCGUAAUUGACAUGGAAUACUUAACAAAAUUUGUCUCAAAUCAAACUUAAGAAUGUAUAACAAAAUUAGGCCCAGUCUUGAUCAUACUUUUGAUUUAAACUUUGCCACGUCUCUUCCUAUUCAAAUUCUAUGUUUAUGUGACCCAACAAUUUGUGGAUGUAAUAGCCUGGAAUUUAAUAUUAUUGGGUUUGUUUAAUUUCAAAGUACUUUGCGUCUUGUUAGAAGUUGAAAGGCUUAUAAUGUAAGGGUAUUGUUAAUCAAUGUUUAAAAAAUUAAGAGUUUUUUUUAUUAAAAAUUAUAUGAAAAUAUAUUUUAAAAUUAUAAGAAAAUACAAUUUUUUCAUAUUCUAAUAAAAAAAUUCCUUUCAACUCCUUUACCAUUGUCUUAAUUGCCUUAAAGACACUAAUUAACAUUUAUCAUAAUAUAAUAGACUUAUAAAUACUCUUUUUCUUGUUGUUAAUGUAUCUUUAAUGUAAAUAUUUAAUUUGAGUUUUAAACUUUUUUUAAUGAAUCUUUUACUGUCACAGGAUUUAAGAAUAAUAGCUAAUUUUUACUAUAAUAGAAGAAUUUAAUUUAGGUUCUUAAUUUAUUUUUAGUCUACCGUGUUUUAUCUUUUUACUCAUAUAAUAACCUUUAUUUUGAUUUAAAAAUUAUUUUUUUAAUGGUUAAACAACUUUAUUUGUGGAGGAAAACAUGCAUAAACACACACAUGACCCCAGGCACCCAUUUUUUAUGUUUAAUAGCAUUUUUAAGAUGAUACUGUAAAAUAAAAAAAACAAAAAAAAAACAGCAUUUAUAAGAUUGAAACCACUGACUAUUUGAUUGGACUCUUAGAAAUUGCCGAUAGGCAUCGUGCCAUUGCCAUAUGCUUUUUUGAACUGCUUCUGUCUGGCUUGUGCUUUUGUCCUAAGCAGUUCAGAAAAGCAGAAAAUAAAACUUGGAUUGUACCUGAUCUCCUGUCCGUACCACAGUUUUGUUCACGGGGGCAUGGAAUCUUCAAUCCUGUUUUUGUUGAUACGUAUGAUUCAGAUUCUGCAAAUCAUUUCAAUCAUGAAAUCAACAGUAAACCCCAUUAAAUGCAAACCAUUGUAUCAGGAGUGGUGACAAAUGUAUGUGAGGGGCGGAGCCUGCAAAAACGGACUUGGCUGUUUUCAAAACCCGUACAGCCCAUUGUUUGUUUUUCAAAGAGUUAAUACACAAUUUAGUUCUUGAGAUUGUAUCUGUUUUGUAUAUUAGUUAAAUUUAAAAUAGUCUGUAUCUUUGCAUAAUUAUUGUAAAAUAGUUCUUUCGUUAAAUUUUAAAGUAACGCUGUUAGUGAGAUUAAUUUUAGUGUCACGUGAACGAUCCAACGUGACACUAAAGGAUGACGUGGCAUGGCACGUGAACGUGCCUCUUAAAAGAUGCCACGUCAUUUGAUGAUAACAAAUUGAUUAAAUAGGUAAUUUAGUCUCUGACUUUGUACCCAUGUUGCAUAUUAGUCCCUAACUUAAUGAAAAAUUCAAAAUAGUCCCUAUCUUUUGCAUAAGUGUUGCAAAAUAGUUAUUCCGUUAAAUUUUAAAAUAAUGUUGUUAGUGAGGUCAAUUUUAGUGCCACGUCAUUUGAUGAUGAUAGAAUGAGUGUCUUCUUCAAAUCUGAUGGUUCUAAACCAAUUGAGACAUAUAUACGAAAAAGAACUCACACACACUUGCACAAAUAAAAAGAAUCAAAAAUCCACAGCAACAACCUUAUUUUUGUAGCCGUCAACACCAAUGGACGAGGUCUGCAUAACCAUUCUCUUUUCCUCUUUUUUUUUCUUCAAUUACCAUAAAUGUAUCAUUCCGGGUUUUUAUUUUUUUUUGUUUUCUAAAUAGGAAGAGAGAAAAAAUCAAAGGAAACAAAGUGGAGGAGAAAAUAACAGAGGAAGAAGAAAAGAAAGAAGAAGAGAAAAAAUUACAAGAAUCAAAAGAUGAUAAGGAAUCCAAGGAGGAAUCUGCGCCGCCAGAAAUCGUGCAAGGCACAACCUUUGCAAUGCAUGGACACUUUAAGCACGAUUUCUGGCAUCUUUUAAGUUAGGGACUAUUUUGCAACACUUAUGCAAAAGAUAGAGAUUAUUUUAAAUUUUUCGAACUAAUAUGCAACAGGAAUACAAAGCCAG